GGGGGUGUAGUUCAGGGGUAGAGCGUUCGCUUCGCAUCCUCUCUUGUAUGCGAAAGGCCCUGGGUUCGAUUCCCAGCUCCUCCA
RNAcentral lists this transfer RNA (84 nucleotides) under Cercophora newfieldiana. It matches the Rfam family "tRNA". Rfam says of the family: Transfer RNA (tRNA) molecules are approximately 80 nucleotides in length. Their secondary structure includes four short double-helical elements and three loops (D, anti-codon, and T loops). Lineage: Eukaryota; Fungi; Ascomycota; Sordariomycetes; Sordariales; Lasiosphaeriaceae. The record is from Rfam by way of RNAcentral.